GUAGGGGUGCCAGAUUUGUUAAUGGGGUUGAUUUAGGAUUAGUUUAUGACAUAAUUGCAGUAUGUUCUCCUAUU
RNAcentral lists this transfer RNA (74 nucleotides) under Raillietina sp. HL-2022. RNAcentral describes it as "tRNA-Leu". The record is from RNAcentral. Lineage: Eukaryota; Metazoa; Platyhelminthes; Cestoda; Cyclophyllidea; Davaineidae.